This 30-nucleotide non-coding RNA is filed under the name Homo sapiens (human). The record is from RNAcentral. Lineage: Eukaryota; Metazoa; Chordata; Mammalia; Primates; Hominidae.
UCACUAGAGAGCCGUGCUAGGUGGGGGUCU